This 729-nucleotide unclassified non-coding RNA is filed under the name Hevea brasiliensis (rubber tree). Lineage: Eukaryota; Viridiplantae; Streptophyta; Magnoliopsida; Malpighiales; Euphorbiaceae. The record is from RNAcentral.
AGUCAUUGAAGAAACGACAAUCUGGUAAAAAAUCUAUCUUGUGGUAUUUGGCUAUGCAUAUGUUCUACUCUUUCAGUAUUAUUUGUGACUGUUUGGAACUUAGGAUUAAGACUGGGCUGUUAACUGUUUGGAACUUAGGAUUAAGGAUAUACCCAUAUAGUAUCUUCUGGUCUUUAGUUGGUGAAGAAUUAAAACUAUGAUUAAUAUAUUAGCAUCUGCCUAAGAUAUUUACGGAAAGAUUAUCCUGCCAACUAAUUUUUCAUCAGCCCUCUGUCUGCAUUGCCUAUGCUGAUCUAUACAAAGUAAUGUGUUGCCAAAAAAAUUUUCUAGUACUCCCUAACUAUUGUGGGAGUUUGGUUUGACUUCUUAAGUGUUCCUAUCAUCAUACAAAUUCAGGCAGUUGUCCACUGUAUGGACCAUAGACUUUUGGUCCUUUUGAACCUUUAGAAAUUAGAAUGUGAACUUAAUGAUCAUUCCUGUAGCUUUUAGUGGUAUUUCUUAUUUCUGUUGCAUUCAUCAUCUACAUUUGGUUUUGGUGGUUUUAACAAGAUUCUGAAUACUCAUGCAAUUUUUCCCCUUCUGUAACAACUGGAAUUUUUCUUGUGCAUUCAGCUUUUGUUAACUUGUUGACAGUCUCUUCCAUGGAGAAUUUUAAGUACACACCUCUAUUUUACAUAUGUGGAACCCCUUUUGGUUUUUUGCUUGAUAUAAUUUUUCCUUCUAAGAAAG